GAGCCAAUCAGCCGCGAGUUUCAGGUCACGUGGAAGCGAAAGUUAAAGCGCCCGCAGGCAGCUCGGAGACUGGCUUCCGGGCGGUGGACCGCCGCGGGAGGGAGUCUUCUGGCUGCACGUGGUGCGGGGGCGCGUGACUCCAGGAACUUCGGAAGUCCAGGGCCGGUGGUGGCCCGCUACCCUUCACUGGUGUCUUCAGAUGCAACGCCCUUUCCCGCGCCUAUCACGUUCCUUCCACUCCUCCGGGCAGCACCUCCCCUCUCCUGGGGGAGACCUGGAAACCAUACACCCCUGUGAAGAUUGCCACUGCAAUUGCGAUGCUCUGAAGAAAUACAAGGGCCUCAGGCUUCCAAAAGGAAGUGACGCUUAACCUGAACUAUAUUGUGAGUGACUAGAAGAGUCGGAAACAUUGGAGGGAGAGAGAAAUGAAGACCCCCGAAGGAUAAAGAAAGCUGGGCAGAUUUGAGGAACUAAGGUCACGCACACAGUUGGAGGGGCCAUGAGCCACGGAAGCCUAGACUGGCAGCGGUGGGGCAGGGCCUAGCGGACUUGGUAAGGUCGCUCCUUGCACCUGUAAGGGGCAGCAGCAGCAGCACAAGGCAGGAGUUAUUUGUAUUUGUCUUGUUGAGAAACAGAGGGCCAGUGAAAGGAAAUAACUCAGAAAAGAUCAACACCAGUAGGAGAGCCGGACUGGGACCAGAGCUGGAACUCCUGUCUCGAAGACCAGCAUUCUUGCCACUGUUCCCCAGAGUAAUACUCAUUGUACGGACGGACUGCCUCUUGUUUACCCAGCUGAUGGACAGCCGGGUGGUUUCCAUUUGGGGCCAUUACAAAUAAUGCUACCAUGAGUGCUGUGUAGGAGUGUGUGCGUGUCUGCACGUUUCUGCUGUGGAUACCCAGACGUCGCAUUGCUGGGUCUUCGUUGCUUCUAGUCGAACAUUUUGAGGAACUGCUGGACCGCUUUCCAAAGCAGGUGCUCCAUCUUACAUUCCCACCAGCAGGCACUAGGGUUCCAAUUUCUCCACACCCUUGCCGACACUUGUCAUGAAUUUCCUGUAUUAUAACUUUUCAGCGGAUGUGAUGUGGUAGCUCCACCGGUUUCUGAUUUGCAUUUCCCUAAUGACUAAUCACGUUGCGCAUGUUUGCAUGGGCUUAUUGGCCAUUCAGUCUGGGGAUGCAGAAGGCCAACCGUGUAUUUAUUGAAGAAAAUCCAAGUAUAAGUGGACCCGCGCAGUUCAAAUAUGUUAUUCAGUGUUCAACUGCAUGAUUUGCAAGUAUUGUCCCCCAGUGUUAACAUUUUAAUUCUGUCCUUUGAAGCAAAAAGUUUUAAAAUUUUGCUGAAGCACAACUUACAUUUUACCACUUGCAUUUUUGCUGUGGUAUCUAACGCA
Artibeus jamaicensis (Jamaican fruit-eating bat) is the source of this 1391-nucleotide long non-coding RNA. RefSeq lists it as uncharacterized. The transcript is spliced from 2 exons. Lineage: Eukaryota; Metazoa; Chordata; Mammalia; Chiroptera; Phyllostomidae. The record is from RefSeq and is a predicted model, not a curated record.